CUACGGGAUGCAGCAGUGGGGAAUAUUGCACAAUGGAGGAAACUCUGAUGCAGCAACGCCGCGUGGAGGAUGACGCAUUUCGGUGUGUAAACUCCUUUUAUAUGGGAAGAUAAUGACGGUACCAUAUGAAUAAGCACCGGCUAACUCCGUGCCAGCAGCCGCGGUAAUACGGAGGGUGCAAGCGUUACUCGGAAUCACUGGGCGUAAAGCGCGCGCAGGCGGCUAGAUAAGUUGGAAGUGAAAUCCUAUGGCUCAACCAUAGAACUGCUUCCAAAACUGUUUAGCUAGAGUCUGGGAGGGGAAGAUGGAAUUAGUAGUGUAGGGGUAAAAUCCGUAGAGAUUACUAGGAAUACCAAAAGCGAAGGCGAUCUUCUGGAACAGUACUGACGCUGAGGCGCGAAAGCGUGGGGAGCAAACAGGAUUAGAUACCCCCGUAGUC
This 439-nucleotide ribosomal RNA is filed under the name uncultured bacterium. RNAcentral's name for it is "partial 16S ribosomal RNA". It matches the Rfam family "Bacterial small subunit ribosomal RNA", at positions 339 to 795 of the family's 1533-position model. The record is from RNAcentral.